This 1795-nucleotide long non-coding RNA is filed under the name Homo sapiens (human). Its description in RNAcentral is "HSALNT0164148". The record is from RNAcentral. Lineage: Eukaryota; Metazoa; Chordata; Mammalia; Primates; Hominidae.
UUUCUCCACUGGCAUCUGGGCAGAGUUCAGCCUUUAGCAAAAGGCCAGCUCCUGGGAGGCACCCUGUGUGAACUCUGCCCAGAUCACUGUGUUGGUGGGUGCGGGACUGGUGCAUACCGAUGGCCUCCAGGAUGAGCAUGUAGGCGGCUGUGGUCUCCCGGUCCAGGCCCACCACGGUUCUCACAACGGCAUCGCGGUAACCCACGCUGAACUUCCCAUCCACGUUGCCACCUGUGGGUGAAGGAGAGGAAGCUUCCGGCUGGGAAACAGAGCUCCCGGCCAGGGGAAGCGGGGACUCUGCUCCUGAGCUGGGACCCGCGAUGGAAGCCCUCCCAGAUUUGGAGCAGCUGUUCCAGCUUAAGGACCCCACCAUUAUCUGGAGUUCAACCACGUAGAAGGCUGGAUUCACAGACUUCCCCUGCCCCGCUUUGCUUUGAUUUGUGAGAUAGUAACAACAAAAAUAAAAUUACAUCAAGGGUUCUUUUUUAAAAGUCACUUGAGGAUUUCAUUAUUAUUAUUUUUUUAAAAAACUGUUUGUGGCCAUGCACAGGCAAGCCUCCUCCCAAAUUCCUACACUGUUCUCAUCUGCACCUCCAGUCCUGAUCAGAUUGCCCGACUCAAGACCCUGGUACCCUGAAUGUUUUACUGAAGUGGAUUCAAGGCAUUUGGGGAAAUGUGUAAUAAUAAAUAAAAUAAGAGUUUUGGAUUAAGCCAAGACUCUCAGGAUUGGGAGACAAUAUCAAGGUCGUCUGAUCUAUUUCACAUCCAGCAAACUGGACGAGAGGUGUCUGGACUCAGCUUGAAUGCUUUCCAGGACGGGGGGCUCAGUACUUUUACUUUACUUGCGCACAGCUCUACCCCCUGGAGAACGCUCUUCUCCACAACCAGCAGAAAUCUGUAUCUCCUGAGGUCCUAGGUGGGACCAGGGAGCCACAGUUCAAGGGAGGGCCCUCAUCGUGUAUGUGAGGACAGUUUCCAAGUUAAACGCUCCCCGCUCCUUCCUCUAUGAACUCAGAAGUUGCAUUGGUGGGCAUCUUUCUUCGCUGGUUGUGAGCCCCCAGAGAACAGGGUUUGGGGGUUGACUUGCUCUCACCCCGCCUCCCCUCCGGUCUGGGGGCUUCCUCGGGGACCGACUGCCGUUCCCUGGAUUGAGGCGCUCCCUGCUGGGAGUUUGGGGACCUGCCAAAGAACACCAUUCACCUCCUCCUACAGAUGAAGAAACUGAGGCACAGCGGGCCUGUGGGGCACCACCAAGCUCACCCCCUCUGGCAUCCUGACAAACAACCCCAUCUUCUUCUAAUGAGAACAGGCUAACCUGAUACAGCCAUUGUGUCUCAGGUAUAAGCCCUCGUGACCGACACACAGUGAUCACCACAGCUACUGUGUUUCCUGUGUCCAAGUUCCAGGGUGCUUCAUACGUGUGUCUGAUUGAGUCCCCACAGCACAGCCAGGCAGGUACUAUUAUUAUCUCCAUUUCACAGAUGAGAAGCUGAGACUCAGAGAGGUUAAGCAGUUUGCUCCAAGUACACAGCACCCUGGUGCUGGAGAUGGGAUUCACAUCCCCGUUGGUUGGACUCCACGGCCCAUGCUCUUAACCAGGAGGGUCUCCAGUGUUUCUGAAUGGCCCCCGGAGGGCAGAGGUGUUGAAAGGACUUGAAACCCUGGAUGUCAUCUCCCCUAAACCAGCACCUUCAGGAUCCCUCUAAUCAGAGGAUGAUGGAACAGGAGGCAAAGAAGCCAGGCCCUGAGAAACUUGGACAUGACUUCCAGAAUUCCAUCUUUGCCUCUCUCCCUC